AUGACGUAUGCUUGCCACUGCUUGCACAUAAAGAAGCAUCACUCCAGAGAUGAGUCGUCGAGCCCCAUGUCUUGGAGUUCAGCUAGCCAAUGGUUGCAUCUGUUAUAGAAAUAGAAGAAGUGAGAGAAAAAUAACCAUGGCCUAGUUUGGAAGCAAAAUAUGCUAUUCGGAAAUAAAUUAUUACUAUCUUCAAUGAUUACAGUAAAUAUCAGGAUAGGAAGAGAUAGAUAGGGAUAAUACAAAACUAAUAUUUGGAAUAAGUGUUUAAUCUAUGAUAGAUAGGAAGAGAUAGAUAGGGAUAAUACAAAACUAAUAUUUGGAAUAAGUGUUUAAUCUAUGAUAAUUAGUACCUGCUAACGAGCUACAGCUAAAAUAUGAUGAUUUUUAGAAAGACAAGUAUGACCUCAAGAUUUUAAUUACUUUUUGGUAAUAGAUAGAUAAUUCCAUCUUUCACUAAUAAUGGGGUUAAAGCCAUUUCCU
This 480-nucleotide long non-coding RNA is filed under the name Phoenix dactylifera (date palm). RNAcentral's name for it is "long non-coding RNA (PDAC_LNC005334)". The record is from RNAcentral. Lineage: Eukaryota; Viridiplantae; Streptophyta; Magnoliopsida; Arecales; Arecaceae.